GGUAGCGCCUCGUGAAUUCAUCUCCGGGGGUAGAGCACUGUUUCGGCAAGGGGGUCAUCCCGACUUACCAACCCGAUGCAAACUGCGAAUACCGGAGAAUGUUAUCACGGGAGACACACGGCGGGUGCUAACGUCCGUCGUGAAGAGGGAAACAACCCAGACCGCCAGCUAAGGUCCCAAAGUCAUGGUUAAGUGGGAAACGAUGUGGGAAGGCCCAGACAGCCAGGAUGUUGGCUUAGAAGCAGCCAUCAUUUAAAGAAAGCGUAAUAGCUCACUGGUCGAGUCGGCCUGCGCGGAAGAUGUAACGGGGCUAAACCAUGCACCGAAGCUGCGGCAGCGACGCUGAUGCGUUGUUGGGUA
This 360-nucleotide ribosomal RNA is filed under the name Escherichia coli. RNAcentral describes it as "partial 23S ribosomal RNA". It matches the Rfam family "Bacterial large subunit ribosomal RNA", at positions 873 to 1230 of the family's 2925-position model. The record is from RNAcentral. Lineage: Bacteria; Pseudomonadati; Pseudomonadota; Gammaproteobacteria; Enterobacterales; Enterobacteriaceae.